Molecule: non-coding RNA, 732 nt
Organism: Xyrichtys novacula (pearly razorfish)
Lineage: Eukaryota; Metazoa; Chordata; Actinopteri; Labriformes; Labridae
Source: the annotation of a GenBank genome assembly
AUUUUUAGAGAACCCAAAGUGGAAGUUCAGGGCUCUAUUAUUCCAAACAAAAGAUUUCCCAUGUAACUUGAAUGCUUCCAUAGGUUGAACUGUGUAGGCUAUGUGCAGGAAAGGUAAGUGUUAAUACAUGACAGGUUUAGCAGAGACAACUGCUUUCUGAACCUCAACACGUCCACAGGAGUGUGAAACAAACACUUUGGUCCCCGGCGAUGAGACAAUGUCAAUCUUUAACCACACUUAUUUACAACCCUCUGUCUUUUGGACAUAAUCAAGAGAUAUCCCCCCAACAGGAGGAAUGUUGAUCACUGAUCACUUCAAGAAGAACACAGAGUUUUUAUCUUCUCUGCACUGACUUCAUCACUGAAAGAAUACAAUGACUGAUAAUGAUGUCUGAAGCUUUCAGUGAUGUACUGAUCUGUCUCAUCAUGAAAUUCGUGUUAAAAUGAGAUGUGUUCUGCUUUUCUGCGUGAUCCACAAGCCAAGGUCUCGCUCUGACUGAACAGAUCCUCUGGUCUUUAGUUUCUAUAGACCAACAACUUUCCAGACUGUUUCAUGAACUUUAAAGAGUUGAGAUUAUUAAAUAUGAAUCAUAACCUUACUGUAACAAAAAUAUUAGAAACGUUGUGCUUAGACUUAUCAUUGAUGUCUCAUUUUUAACAAUAAGUGGGUUAUAAUGUCAUUGAAAAAUCUGAAUGCGAGUAUAAAGAAUACAUCAAUCAUAAUGAAGUUCAU